GUUGCAUGGCUGUCGUCAGCUCGUGUCGUGAGAUGUUGGGUUAAGUCCCGCAACGAGCGCAACCCUUGCCUUUAGUUGCCAGCAGUUCGGCUGGGCACUCUAAAGGGACUGCCGGUGUUAAACCGGGAGGAAGGUGGGGGAUGACGUCAAGUCCUCAUGGCCUUUAUGACCAGGGCUACACACGUACUACAAUGGCCGAUACAAAGGGCAGCGACACUGCGAGGUGAAGCCAAUCCCGUAAAAUCGGUCUCAGUCCGGAUUGGAGUCUGCAACUCGACUCCAUGAAGUUGGAAUCGCUAGUAAUCGUGGAUCAGCAUGCCACGGUGAAUACGUUCCCGGGCCUU
This 344-nucleotide ribosomal RNA is filed under the name uncultured Desulfobulbus sp. Its description in RNAcentral is "bacterial SSU rRNA". It matches the Rfam family "Bacterial small subunit ribosomal RNA", at positions 1040 to 1382 of the family's 1533-position model. The record is from RNAcentral. Lineage: Bacteria; Pseudomonadati; Thermodesulfobacteriota; Desulfobulbia; Desulfobulbales; Desulfobulbaceae.